AACGAACGUUGGCGGCGUGGAUUAGGCAUGCAAGUCGAACGAAUACCACCUGGGUAACUGGGUGGAGGAAGUGGCGAAAGGGGCAGUAAGGCGUGGGUAACCUGCCCCGGAGUUCGGAAUAGCCUUCCUAACGGAUGGGUAAUACCGAAUGCCGUGCCGAUGGGGCCUCCUAUCGGUACGAAAGCUCCGGCGCUCCGGGAGGGGCUCACGUAGUAUUAGCUAGUUGGUGGGGUAACGGCCCACCAAGGCCAAGAUGCUUAGCAGGUGUGAGAGCACGACCUGCGUCACUGGCACUGGGACACUGGCCAGACUCCUACGGGAGGCUGCAGUCGAGGAUCUUCGGCAAUGGGCGCAAGCCUGACCGAGCGACGCCGCGUGUGCGAUG
This 385-nucleotide ribosomal RNA is filed under the name uncultured bacterium. Its description in RNAcentral is "bacterial SSU rRNA". It matches the Rfam family "Bacterial small subunit ribosomal RNA", at positions 28 to 410 of the family's 1533-position model. The record is from RNAcentral.